Molecule: ribosomal RNA, 301 nt
Filed under: Paenibacillus pabuli
Lineage: Bacteria; Bacillati; Bacillota; Bacilli; Caryophanales; Paenibacillaceae
Description: partial 16S ribosomal RNA
Rfam family: Bacterial small subunit ribosomal RNA
Source: RNAcentral
CUUUAUUGGAGAGUUUGAUCCUGGCUCAGGACGAACGCUGGCGGCAUGCCUAAUACAUGCAAGUCGAGCGGACUUGAUGAGAAGCUUGCUUCUCUGAUGGUUAGCGGCGGACGGGUGAGUAACACGUAGGCAACCUGCCCUCAAGCUUGGGACAACUACCGGAAACGGUAGCUAAUACCGAAUAGUUGUUUUCUUCUCCUGAAGAGAACUGGAAAGACGGAGCAAUCUGUCACUUGGGGAUGGGCCUGCGGCGCAUUAGCUAGUUGGUGGGGUAACGGCUCACCAAGGCGACGAUGCGUAG